AGUGAACGCUGGCGGUAGGCCUAACACAUGCAAGUCGAACGGCAGCACAGUAAGCGCUUGCUCUUACGGGUGGCGAGUGGCGGACGGGUGAGGAAUACAUCGGAAUCUACUUUUUCGUGGGGGAUAACGUAGGGAAACUUACGCUAAUACCGCAUACGACCUACGGGUGAAAGCAGGGGAUCUUCGGACCUUGCGCGAUUGAAUGAGCCGAUGUCGGAUUAGCUAGUUGGCGGGGUAAAGGCCCACCAAGGCGACGAUCCGUAGCUGGUCUGAGAGGAUGAUCAGCCACACUGGAACUGAGACACGGUCCAGACUCCUACGGGAGGCAGCAGUGGGGAAUAUUGGACAAUGGGCGCAAGCCUGAUCCAGCCAUACCGCGUGGGUGAAGAAGGCCUUCGGGUUGUAAAGCCCUUUUGUUGGGAAAGAAAAGCAGCAUGUUAAUACCCCGCUGUUCUGACGGUACCCAAAGAAUAAGCACCGGCUAACUUCGUG
This 492-nucleotide ribosomal RNA is filed under the name uncultured bacterium. RNAcentral describes it as "partial 16S ribosomal RNA". It matches the Rfam family "Bacterial small subunit ribosomal RNA", at positions 29 to 507 of the family's 1533-position model. The record is from RNAcentral.